UACAUGGAUACAUGAUUGCCUAGGUGCGAGUAAUGGCAUGUCUAUGAGUAGGAAGGUUGACUGUUAUUGUUCUUCAGGAAAGACGUGUUAGCAUGAUUGAGUUUAGCUCUAGUGCUCUCAUGAUCUACUAACGUUCAAGGCACGAAGCUGAAAUACGAUUAGAGAUGGUGUUGCGAGUGUUUUGUUGACGGAUGUUAUCCUAGUAUGGAAGAAUGAUGUUUCUUUGGCUGCAGGUAUUUCGGUAUAGUUGAUGGGUUGGUAGCAAUGUACUUGGGAUAUUAUGACUGAAGUUCACCGCGACAGUUGUAAUUGUCGGACCACGGGUUGUCCACUAUUUUAUAGGUUUGGUAUGGCUUGUGACGUUUGUGUCACUUAUUCUUUGUUAAGUCAUUAUUGUUAUGUAAAUAUUGUGUUAAUAAGACUCAAACAGAUAGAUGUUAAAUGGCUCAAUGUUGUAAUUAAUUUGUGAUAGAUGUAUAAGUUGUAAUUUCCGCUAUUCA
Molecule: long non-coding RNA, 500 nt
Organism: Alnus glutinosa
Lineage: Eukaryota; Viridiplantae; Streptophyta; Magnoliopsida; Fagales; Betulaceae
Exons: 2
Source: RefSeq, a predicted model, not a curated record